CAGUAGCCACGGUAAUACGUAGGGUGCGAGCGUUGUCCGGAAUUACUGGGCGUAAAGAGCUCGUAGGUGGUUUGUCGCGUUGUUCGUGAAAACCGGAGGCUUAACCUCUGGCGUGCGGGCGAUACGGGCAGACUUGAGUACUGCAGGGGAGACUGGAAUUCCUGGUGUAGCGGUGGAAUGCGCAGAUAUCAGGAGGAACACCGGUGGCGAAGGCGGGUCUCUGGGCAGUAACUGACGCUGAGGCUCGAAAGCGUGGGGAGCAAACAGGAUUAGAUACCCCUGUAGUCCCUGUCUCUUUACA
This 301-nucleotide ribosomal RNA is filed under the name uncultured bacterium. RNAcentral describes it as "partial 16S ribosomal RNA". It matches the Rfam family "Bacterial small subunit ribosomal RNA", at positions 509 to 808 of the family's 1533-position model. The record is from RNAcentral.